GCAAGUAUAGUUUAAAAAAAACAUUAGCCUGUGAUCCUAAAGACAGAAGUUAAACCCUUCUUACCUGCC
This 69-nucleotide transfer RNA is filed under the name Athene brama. Its description in RNAcentral is "tRNA-His". It matches the Rfam family "tRNA". From Rfam's summary of the family: Transfer RNA (tRNA) molecules are approximately 80 nucleotides in length. Their secondary structure includes four short double-helical elements and three loops (D, anti-codon, and T loops). The record is from RNAcentral. Lineage: Eukaryota; Metazoa; Chordata; Aves; Strigiformes; Strigidae.